AGUAAAGAAAUGACUUAUGGAUUUUAGUGGUUAAACAGACUAUGGGGCUUGCGAGGGCGAUGAUCAAGCAUAGUUUAGAAGUAGAGGGCUUACUUGAUGCAGUGGACAUUGUUGGAAUAGGUGGUGAUGGAGCAAACACAGUUAACAUUUCGACUGGAGCUUCAAUACUUGCUGCAGCUUGUGGUACCAAAAUUGCAAAGCAAGGAAAUCGUUCAAGUUCUUCAGCAUGUGGAAGUGUCGAUGUAUUAGAAUAGUUGGGGAUAGUUAUCGACCUGGAACCUGAGGCAGAUGUAGAUAACAGUGGAACAAUUGAUUAUGGAGAGUUUGUAGCAGCCACUUUGCAUUUAAACAAAAUUGAGAGAGAAGAUCAU
Long non-coding RNA from Humulus lupulus (European hop), 371 nucleotides. RefSeq lists it as uncharacterized. The transcript has 3 exons. The record is from RefSeq and is a predicted model, not a curated record. Lineage: Eukaryota; Viridiplantae; Streptophyta; Magnoliopsida; Rosales; Cannabaceae.